This 1217-nucleotide ribosomal RNA is filed under the name uncultured bacterium. RNAcentral's name for it is "bacterial SSU rRNA". It matches the Rfam family "Bacterial small subunit ribosomal RNA", at positions 67 to 1297 of the family's 1533-position model. The record is from RNAcentral.
CGGUGAAGCCCAGCUUGCUGGGUGGAUCAGUGGCGAACGGGUGAGUAACACGUGAGCAACCUGCCCUCCACUUCGGGAUAAGCCUUGGAAACGGGGUCUAAUACCGGAUAUGAGCUCGCAUCGCAUGGUGUGGGUUGGAAAGUUUUUCGGUGGGGGAUGGGCUCGCGACCUAUCAGCUUGUUGGUGGGGUGAUGGCCUACCAAGGCGUCGACGGGUAGCCGGCCUGAGAGGGCGACCGGCCACACUGGGACUGAGACACGGCCCAGACUCCUACGGGAGGCAGCAGUGGGGAAUAUUGCACAAUGGGCGCAAGCCUGAUGCAGCGACGCCGCGUGAGGGAUGACGGCCUUCGGGUUGUAAACCUCUUUCAGCAGGGAAGAAGCGCAAGUGACGGUACCUGCAGAAGAAGCGCCGGCUAACUACGUGCCAGCAGCCGCGGUAAUACGUAGGGCGCAAGCGUUGUCCGGAAUUAUUGGGCGUAAAGAGCUCGUAGGCGGUCUGUCGCGUCUGGUGUGAAAUCCCGAGGCUCAACCUCGGGCUUGCAUCGGGUACGGGCAGACUAGAGUGCGGUAGGGGAGACUGGAAUUCCUGGUGUAGCGGUGGAAUGCGCAGAUAUCAGGAGGAACACCGAUGGCGAAGGCAGGUCUCUGGGCCGCAACUGACGCUGAGGAGCGAAAGCAUGGGGAGCGAACAGGAUUAGAUACCCUGGUAGUCCAUGCCGUAAACGUUGGGCACUAGGUGUGGGGCUCAUUCCACGAGUUCCGUGCCGCAGCUAACGCAUUAAGUGCCCCGCCUGGGGAGUACGGCCGCAAGGCUAAAACUCAAAGGAAUUGACGGGGGCCCGCACAAGCGGCGGAGCAUGCGGAUUAAUUCGAUGCAACGCGAAGAACCUUACCAAGGCUUGACAUGUACGAGAAAGCCCCCGAGACGGGGUUCUCUUUGGACACUCGUACACAGGUGGUGCAUGGUUGUCGUCAGCUCGUGUCGUGAGAUGUUGGGUUAAGUCCCGCAACGAGCGCAACCCUCGUCCUAUGUUGCCAGCGGGUUAUGCCGGGGACUCAUGGGAGACUGCCGGGGUCAACUCGGAGGAAGGUGGGGAUGACGUCAAAUCAUCAUGCCCCUUAUGUCUUGGGCUUCACGCAUGCUACAAUGGCCGGUACAGAGGGCUGCGAUACCGUAAGGUGGAGCGAAUCCCAAAAAGCCGGUCUCAGUUCGGA